Molecule: ribosomal RNA, 468 nt
Filed under: uncultured bacterium
Lineage: Bacteria
Description: partial 16S ribosomal RNA
Rfam family: Bacterial small subunit ribosomal RNA (bases 13-374)
Source: RNAcentral
GACGAACGCUGGCGGCGUGCUUAACACAUGCAAGUCGAACGGAAAGGCCCUGCUUUUGUGGGGUGCUCGAGUGGCGAACGGGUGAGUAACACGUGAGUAACCUGCCCUUGACUUUGGGAUAACUUCAGGAAACUGGGGCUAAUACCGGAUAGGAGCUCCUGCUGCAUGGUGGGGGUUGGAAAGUUUCGGCGGUUGGGGAUGGACUCGCGGCUUAUCAGCUUGUUGGUGGGGUAGUGGCUUACCAAGGCUUUGACGGGUAGCCGGCCUGAGAGGGUGACCGGGCAAAAUGGGAAUGAGGAAAGGGCCAGGCUUCCACGGGAGGGAAGAGGGGGGAAUAUUGGAGCAAGGGGCGAAAGCCUGAUGCAGAACGGCCGGUUGGGGAAGACCGGCUUUGGGGUGGAAAACGGCUUCGGCCGGUGAGGAGGCGUGGGUAAGGUUAAUGGGAAAGGAGGCACGGGCUAAUAAGGG